CACGAACUUAGCCCGUGCUUACUGCACCUCGGUCAUUCUUCCUCGGUGCCUUUGCGCUUUACAACCCGAAGGCCUUCGUCGCGCACGCGGCGUCGCUCGGUCAGGCUUGCGCCCAUUGCCGAAGAUCCUCGACUGCAGCCUCCCGUAGGAGUCUGGCCAGUGUCUCAGUGCCAGUGGCGCGGGUCGUGCUCUCACACCCGCUAGCCGUCUGAGCCUUGGUGGGCCGUUACCCCGCCAACUAGCUGAUAGCACGUGGGCCCCUCCGGGGCGGAACCUUUGGCAGUCGGGCCAUGCGGCCCCACUGCGUCGUUGGGAAUUACCCGGCCGUUAGACCGGCUGUGCCCAACCCCGGGGUAGUUGCCCACGCAUUACUGCCCCUUUCGCCACUCCCGUAUUGCUACGGUCGUCCGACUCGCAUGCCUGAUCCACGCCGCCAACGUUCGUUCUGAGCCAGGAUCAAACUC
Molecule: ribosomal RNA, 464 nt
Filed under: uncultured Planctomycetaceae bacterium
Lineage: Bacteria; Pseudomonadati; Planctomycetota; Planctomycetia; Planctomycetales; Planctomycetaceae
Description: partial 16S ribosomal RNA
Source: RNAcentral